AGCCAACACUGUUAUAUAUAUAUAUAUAUAUAUAUAUAUAUAUAUAUUUUAUUUUUUUUAUUUUUUUUUUAUUGGGGUAGCCCCCAAAAUAUUGGGACAUAUAAAAAAAGACAACUCUGUUCCGCAGAGUAGCUGUUGACAUUAUAGUUGCGCAGGCACUUUUUUGACUCUAGAGAACCUAAGGCAAAUCGCACAUCCCCGUGGCGGCGACUUUGCAUGCGGAUGUCAUCCAUAUCAACUUUCAAUGCCAGUUUCUGUGUCUACCAUGGUGACCACGGGUAACGGAGAAUCAGGGUUUCAUUCCAUACAGGGACCCUGAGAAACGACUACCACAUGCAAGGAAGGCAGCAGGCG
Molecule: ribosomal RNA, 354 nt
Filed under: Pelobates cultripes (western spadefoot toad)
Lineage: Eukaryota; Metazoa; Chordata; Amphibia; Anura; Pelobatidae
Description: SSU_rRNA_eukarya
Rfam family: Eukaryotic small subunit ribosomal RNA
Source: RNAcentral